RNAcentral lists this ribosomal RNA (253 nucleotides) under uncultured bacterium. RNAcentral describes it as "partial 16S ribosomal RNA". It matches the Rfam family "Bacterial small subunit ribosomal RNA", at positions 524 to 776 of the family's 1533-position model. The record is from RNAcentral.
GACAGAGGCCUCGAGCGUUAGGCGGAAUCACUGGGCUUAAAGCGUGUGUAGGCGGGCCCGUAAGUGUCUUGUGAAAUCCCACGGCUUAACCGUGGAACUGCUGGGCAUACUGCGGGUCUUGGGCCAACUAGGGGCAGCCGGAACAAGCGGUGGAGCGGUGAAAUGCGUAGAUAUCGCUUGGAACGCCGAAGGUGAAAACAGGCUGCUGGGGUUGCGCCGACGCUGAGACACGAAAGCCAGGGGAGCAAACGGG